GGAUGAACUGCCAGAAUCCGAAUCUGUAAAGGAAGUUAGAACAAACAGCAAAAGAAAAUUAGACUAUAAACAAACUAGAGGCUCUCAUACCAGUUAUUUACAUAUAUAAAUCUUAAUUUAAUACAGCAAUCACAUAUGUUGCUUAAUAAUUAAGUAGACAACAAUGUAAGCCUGGCAACAAGAAGCCUCACACAAACAAUAUGGAAAUUUUCUAAUUUCCUCACCCAACCAACUUGGGAAUUGAGAACAUCAUCUCCUAAAUAUUGAUGAGAUUAGAACACGUGGAGCCAAAUGCCUCAUACCAGUGGAGCUUGAAAUCACAUGCCAAAAUCAGUUAAUAAGAAAAACUUGUGAGGCUCUCUGCAUUUCACACCUACAUGCAAUCAAUCCCAGAUGGAAACUAGAAUACAAGAUCAACAUUUGAUAAAUCAUUACAAAUCCUUUGCUUUACUCUGGAUCAAACAUGAAUCACAAAAAGAAAUUCCACAUAUGAUGAAAAUAGUAUUUGCCCAUUUUGAAACGCGACAUUAUGCAUUCAAUUAAGCCACAGCUCUCCAUUCCAAAACUUGACAACCGUGCAAAAAGAGUGAAUACAUUUGUGCCAAUGUAUAAGAUAUAGCAGUUUAGCUUAAAAAAUGACCCUCACGAUCCAACCAUUUCUUGAGUACUCCCCCAGACAGUCAAACUCCUAUCAACAUUCUCUGACCAGCUAGAUCUCUUACUGUGCCUAAUCUUUAGGUUGACUAAAAUUGGCCAGAUGAAUAAAAUUUCACAAAAUGAAAAUGAGUCGACAUUGCUCAAAUUUCUUGGCCAAAAUUAAAUAUUGAAGUCCAACAACAUAAAUCAAAUUUCAAUUUGCACAAGUUUGAUGCACUCAGAGUCGAGCAUUGCAAAUUUGAGCCAUGACAUCCUAAAUUGUAGACCAAAUACUAGAAUUUUUACCAGUCAAUCUCCUUUCACUUUCUCGUCAUGCUAUAAGUAACAUGUUUCACCCAAUAGACAUUUAGGGCUUUCCAAUAACACCUUCAAGUUUCAGCAAGCAAUUCCACCAAAAGUUUUGUUUCAGUUAAUUUUUGCUCACAGACCAAAAAAAAAAAACUUAUAUGCAUGUAACAUGCCCUUCUCUAGAUAUUUCUGUACCCCUCUACCUGUCAUUGACUGAAUGAUCCUAGCCGCACUCUCUGUUUCAGUCUGUCUUUCUCUUCACUGCCUCCAAUCUUGCAUCUUAACCCACUUUUGAUCUCUCUCAAUUUAGUGAUCAUUAACAAUUUAACACUCAAUAUCACCUAACGUUCUUUACUCUGAUUUAGCACCUACAUCACAAAUUAGCAGUAAAAAUUGCUUUGAGGCUGGAGAGCUUUGUUGGGUAACAUUUCAGCUUUAUUUAUUUAAUUUUUUCAAUGCAGAGGAUAUUGUAUUCUAAUGCACGAUGCAAAUUUCUUCCACUAUUAUUUAAUCACAUCACAAAAAAACAUGGCCUGCUAGUUUCAAAUAUUCUCAAACCAUGGUUAAAAAAGUUAUUCCUUUUAACCAUAGUGCCCCCAACUAAUAAAAUAUGGUCCCAACUCCACACUUGACCAUUAUGUAAAAUCUAAAUUAUUAGAAGCUACCUAGUUCCACAAACUAGAUUGUACCUGAGCAUAAGCCUCAAAUAUCAAUUAUAGCCUUAGAUCCAAGCUUGUUGUCAUACUUGGAUAAGUGAACCAUCACACUUAGAGAAUACUACCUAUGAUCAUAAUUAAAAUCCAAAUUACAAGAGACAAGACAAUGCUAGAACAUAAGGCUCAGAUACAAGGAAAACCUUCCUAGAUAUAGGACUAACCAACAGUCCCACAAUGAAUUUCAAUUAAAAAAAAUUCCAACUUUAUACAUCAAAAGAAAUAUAUGCUUAAAGUCUAUGGGACAAUAAAAAUUGUAAUCCCAUCAAUAUGCAAGCAAACCUUAAAGAUUAAAAAUAAAUGAAUAAAUAGAACUUUUUGAGUAUGUUUUCUUUCAACAAAUAUUUCAUGUAAGGACAUCAAGCUACCUUUGCACAGAAGCCCAUGUUGGAACAGUUCAACACAAACCCACUGACAAGGUACAAGUUAAGCAAUCAAAAUUUUACUAUUGUUUGUUAAUAAAUGUGACUAUAUUAUUAUUAUUACUA
Molecule: unclassified non-coding RNA, 2146 nt
Filed under: Hevea brasiliensis (rubber tree)
Lineage: Eukaryota; Viridiplantae; Streptophyta; Magnoliopsida; Malpighiales; Euphorbiaceae
Source: RNAcentral